This 1219-nucleotide ribosomal RNA is filed under the name Salmonella enterica. RNAcentral's name for it is "partial 23S ribosomal RNA". It matches the Rfam family "Bacterial large subunit ribosomal RNA", at positions 1734 to 2925 of the family's 2925-position model. Lineage: Bacteria; Pseudomonadati; Pseudomonadota; Gammaproteobacteria; Enterobacterales; Enterobacteriaceae. The record is from RNAcentral.
CUUCGGGAGAAGGCACGCUGACACGUAGGUGAAGUGGUUUACCCAUGGAGCUGAAGUCAGUCGAAGAUACCAGCUGGCUGCAACUGUUUAUUAAAAACACAGCACUGUGCAAACACGAAAGUGGACGUAUACGGUGUGACGCCUGCCCGGUGCCGGAAGGUUAAUUGAUGGGGUCAGCGCAAGCGAAGCUCCUGAUCGAAGCCCCGGUAAACGGCGGCCGUAACUAUAACGGUCCUAAGGUAGCGAAAUUCCUUGUCGGGUAAGUUCCGACCUGCACGAAUGGCGUAAUGAUGGCCAGGCUGUCUCCACCCGGGACUCAGUGAAAUUGAACUCGCUGUGAAGAUGCAGUGUACCCGCGGCAAGACGGAAAGACCCCGUGAACCUUUACUAUAGCUUGACACUGAACACUGGUCCUUGAUGUGCAGGAUAGGUGGGAGGCUUUGAAGUGUGGACGCCAGUCUGCAUGGAGCCAUCCUUGAAAUACCACCCUUUAAUGGCUGGUGUUCUAACGUGGGCCCCUGACCGGGGUUGCGGACAGUGUCUGGUGGGUAGUUUGACUGGGGCGGUCUCCUCCUAAAGAGUAACGGAGGAGCACGAAGGUUGGCUAAUCCUGGUCGGACAUCAGGAGGUUAGUGCAAUGGCAUAAGCCAGCUUGACUGCGAGCGUGACGGCGCGAGCAGGUGCGAAAGCAGGUCAUAGUGAUCCGGUGGUUCUGAAUGGAAGGGCCAUCGCUCAACGGAUAAAAGGUACUCCGGGGAUAACAGGCUGAUACCGCCCAAGAGUUCAUAUCGACGGCGGUGUUUGGCACCUCGAUGUCGGCUCAUCACAUCCUGGGGCUGAAGUAGGUCCCAAGGGUAUGGCUGUUCGCCAUUUAAAGUGGUACGCGAGCUGGGUUUAGAACGUCGUGAGACAGUUCGGUCCCUAUCUGCCGUGGGCGCUGGAAGAUUGAGGGGGGCUGCUCCUAGUACGAGAGGACCGGAGUGGACGCAUCACUGGUGUUCGGGUUGUCAUGCCAAUGGCACUGCCCGGUAGCUACAUGCGGAAGAGAUAAGUGCUGAAAGCAUCUAAGCACGAAACUUGCCCCGAGAUGAAUCUUCCCUGAGCCUUUAAGGCUCCUGAAGGAACGUUGAAGACGACGACGUUGAUAGGCCGGGUGUGUAAGCGCAGCGAUGCGUUGAGCUAACCGGUACUAAUGAACCGUGAGGCUUAACCUUACAAC